RNAcentral lists this ribosomal RNA (388 nucleotides) under uncultured bacterium. Its description in RNAcentral is "bacterial SSU rRNA". It matches the Rfam family "Bacterial small subunit ribosomal RNA", at positions 28 to 418 of the family's 1533-position model. The record is from RNAcentral.
GACGAACGCUGGCGGCGUGCUUAACACAUGCAAGUCGAGCGGUAAGGCCCUUUCGGGGGUACACGAGCGGCGAACGGGUGAGUAACACGUGGGUGACCUGCCCUCAGCUCUGGGAUAAGCCCGGGAAACUGGGUCUAAUACUGGAUAUGACUCCAUGACGCAUGUUGUGGGGUGGAAAGCCUUGUGCGGCUAGAGAUGGGCCCGCGGCCUAUCAGCUUGUUGGUGGGGGAUGGCCUACCAAGGCGACGACGGGUAGCCGGCCUGAGAGGGCGACCGGCCACACUGGGACUGAGACACGGCCCAGACUCCUACGGGAGGCAGCAGUGGGAAUCUUGCGCAAUGGGACGAAAGCCUGACGCAGCGACGCCGCGUGAGGGAUGACGGCCUC